RNAcentral lists this long non-coding RNA (583 nucleotides) under Androctonus crassicauda. Lineage: Eukaryota; Metazoa; Arthropoda; Arachnida; Scorpiones; Buthidae. The record is from RNAcentral.
GAUCUCAAAUAAUUUAAUAAAUUUUUCUUAUAUACACUGCCAGAUAAACUUAAACAAAACAAAAAAAGUGAUGAAUUUGAAACACUGUAUUUAGACAUAGGAAUAAAGAUAAUUCAAGGUGAAUACGAUAUCAAUGUUUACAGAAAAAACUGCAUAUAAACAAUAUCACCCUCUGUUUUAGAAGAAAGAUAGAAAGAACUAUAGGAUCUAGGGUUACGUUUAGUAAAAUGAACACUCUCUUUAACAAAAUCUGCAAUGAUAAAGGUAAAUUGAAUCCUUGUUCUUUACUAGGAGUGUAUGAAAUUCCCUUUCAUGAUAAAGUUACAAAUGAGAAACACACAUAUAUAAGGUGCACAGUAAGAUCACUACAUAAGACAUUACCAGAGCACAAAUAUGAUAUUGAAACAGGAGUGAUGACAACAACUUUAGCACAGAAAGCACAAGUAAAUAGGCUGGAUAUACAUUGGAAUGAUGCUAAAUUAUUAAGGAUGGAAAUCAAUCCAAAAAGGGAUAGAGUGCAUAAGCUUUGACUAUUUAUGAGAAAAAGAGAAGUAACAUCAAACUAAUUAAUAGAGUUGACCCG